GCAUCGGUGGUUCAGUGGUAGAAUGCUCGCCUGCCACGCGGGCGGCCAGGGUUUGAUUCCCGGCUGAUGCA
This 71-nucleotide transfer RNA is filed under the name Cordylochernes scorpioides. RNAcentral's name for it is "tRNA-Gly". It matches the Rfam family "tRNA". From Rfam's summary of the family: Transfer RNA (tRNA) molecules are approximately 80 nucleotides in length. Lineage: Eukaryota; Metazoa; Arthropoda; Arachnida; Pseudoscorpiones; Chernetidae. The record is from RNAcentral.